UAACACGUAAGCAACCUGCCUAUUAGAGGGGAAUAACAGUGAGAAAUCACUGCUAAUACCGCAUAAGCUGACAAUACCGCAUGGUAUAGUCAGAAAAGGAGAAAUCCGCUAAUAGAUGGGCUUGCGUCCGAUUAGCUAGUUGGUGGGGUAAAGGCCUACCAAGGCAACGAUCGGUAGCCGAGCUGAGAGGCUCAACGGCCACAUUGGGACUGAGAUACGGCCCAGACUCCUACGGGAGGCAGCAGUCGGGAAUAUUGCACAAUGGAGGAAACUCUGAUGCAGUGACACCGCGUAUAGGAAGAAGGUUUUCGGAUUGUAAACUAUUUUAGACAGGGAAGAAAAAAGACAGUACCUGUAGAAUAAGCUCCGGCUAACUACGUGCCAGCAGCCGCGGUAAUACGUAGGGAGCAAGCGUUAUCCGGAAUUAUUGGGUGUAAAGGGUGCGUAGACGGGACAGCAAGUUAGUUGUGAAAGCCCUCGGCUUAACUGAGGAACUGCAACUAAAACUAUUGUUCUUGAGUGCAGGAGAGGAAAGCGGAAUUCCUAGUGUAGCGGUGAAAUGCGUAGAUAUUAGGAGGAACACCAGUGGCGAAGGCGGCUUUCUGGACUGUAACUGACGUUGAGGCACGAAAGUGUGGGGAGCAAACAGGAUUAGAUACCCUGGUAGU
RNAcentral lists this ribosomal RNA (668 nucleotides) under uncultured bacterium. Its description in RNAcentral is "bacterial SSU rRNA". It matches the Rfam family "Bacterial small subunit ribosomal RNA", at positions 111 to 794 of the family's 1533-position model. The record is from RNAcentral.